AAUUGAAGGAAGUUUUCGGAUGGAAUUCGAUUGACUGAGUGGCGGACGGGUGAGUAACGCGUGGAUAACCUGCCUCACACUGGGGGAUAACAGUUAGAAAUGACUGCUAAUACCGCAUAAGCUUACGGUACCGCAUGGUACAGUAAGGAAAACUCCGGUGGUACAGGAUGGGCCCGCGUCUGAUUAGCUGGUUGGCGGUGUAACGGACCACCAAGGCAACGAUCAGUAGCCGGCUUGAGAGAGUGAACGGCCACAUUGGGACUGAGACACGGCCCAAACUCC
This 282-nucleotide ribosomal RNA is filed under the name uncultured Lachnospiraceae bacterium. Its description in RNAcentral is "partial 16S ribosomal RNA". The stretch from base 44 to 282 matches the Rfam family "Bacterial small subunit ribosomal RNA", at positions 100 to 339 of the family's 1533-position model. The record is from RNAcentral. Lineage: Bacteria; Bacillati; Bacillota; Clostridia; Lachnospirales; Lachnospiraceae.